This is a long non-coding RNA of Populus trichocarpa (black cottonwood), 418 nucleotides long. RefSeq lists it as uncharacterized. The record is from RefSeq and is a predicted model, not a curated record. The transcript has 2 exons. NCBI's taxonomy places the organism in Eukaryota, Viridiplantae, Streptophyta, Magnoliopsida, Malpighiales, Salicaceae.
UUAUUAUUUGAAGAACUAUUAUUUCAAUGGAGUCAGCUUCAUAAAUAUCUUGAAUAUAUGAAUAUGGUAGCAGCUUGGUGGAGAAAGUUUAAGAGGAUGGCAUAACCCAAUGAGCUAGGGAGUUCUGGAUCCUCACUUGCCGGGAACGACGUGCAGCUUGCCACUUUAGUUGGUCAAGUGUCCUUGUAGUCAUAUGUGUUUGCACAUCAGCAGAUCUACCGACGAAUCACGUUAAUGGGACUCUUGUAAUAUUGAAUAGACGUCUUUGCUGUAGUAAAAUAAUCGUUUUCCAAGAUUCAUUUUUUAUUUUAGUUUUAUUAAGGGGAAUCUCAGUUUUUUUUCAUUAUUUCUUGCAUCCUUUGAACUUUAGGAUUAUAAUCUAUUCAUUAUCAAUAUUUUUAACAUAUAUAUUUUCAAA